Molecule: ribosomal RNA, 292 nt
Filed under: uncultured bacterium
Lineage: Bacteria
Description: partial 16S ribosomal RNA
Rfam family: Bacterial small subunit ribosomal RNA
Source: RNAcentral
GUGUCAGCCGCCGCGGUAACACGUAUGGGGCAAGCGUUGUUCGGAAUCACUGGGCGUAAAGGGCGUGUAGGCGGUUCGAAAAGCCCGGCGUGAAAGGUGUCGGCCUAACCGACAGACUGCGCUGGGAACUGCCGGACUGGAGUCAUGGAGGGGGAGCUGGAAUUCCAGGUGUAGGGGUGAAAUCUGUAGAGAUCUGGAAGAACACCGGUGGCGAAGGCGAGCUUCUGGCCAAUGACUGACGCUGAGGCGCGAAAGCGUGGGGAGCAAACAGGAUUAGAUACCCCCGUAGUCC